AAAGGAGGAUUUAGUAGUAAAUUA
RNAcentral lists this non-coding RNA (24 nucleotides) under Cricetulus griseus (Chinese hamster). Lineage: Eukaryota; Metazoa; Chordata; Mammalia; Rodentia; Cricetidae. The record is from RNAcentral.